UCUAAGUUCCUACGCAAAUAAUCCUAAAGCUGGAGCCCUUUCUCUAAAACCUCUUUUGGACAAAGCUGAAUCCGUGGUUCCAAAAGAUUUGCAGCCUCAAACACCCCUUAAACUUGGGGCAACUGCUGGUUUGAGGUUAUUAAAAGGUGAUGCUGCUGUUAAAAUAUUGCAAGCGGUGAGGGAUUUAUUUAAGAAUGAAACUACUCUUAAUUACAAGGCGGAAUGGGUUUCAGUCCUCGAUGGUACACAAGAAGGUUCAUAUUUUUGGGUAAGUCACUUCAAAAUUAACAAAGUUUAAUUAUUAUUAGUGCAAAAGUAAUAUACAUGUUUAUGGUUUUGUCAUUGCUCACGCUGUCAAUGUAAAACAUAAUAUAAUUACUAAAAUUGUCACGCUCAUGCUGUCAAUUAAAACAUAAAUAAUUAUCAAUUAUCACUUAAUUAGUAAAAUUGGCGUCAUAAGAUAAUAUAAUAUUUUCGUCUUCAUUAAAUCGUAGGUACCCUUUUAUCUAAUGAUGCUAGUGAGA
Non-coding RNA from Solanum lycopersicum (tomato), 524 nucleotides. The record is from RefSeq and is a predicted model, not a curated record. NCBI's taxonomy places the organism in Eukaryota, Viridiplantae, Streptophyta, Magnoliopsida, Solanales, Solanaceae.